UACGGGGGGGGCAAGCGUUGUUCGGAAUUACUGGGCGUAAAGGGCGCGUAGGCGGGAUGGCAAGUCGGUCGUGAAAUCCUUCGGCUCAACCGAAGAACGUCGAUCGAUACUGCUGUUCUUGAGGGUUGCAGAGGAGACUGGAAUUCCCGGUGUAGCGGUGAAAUGUGUAGAGAUCGGGAGGAACACCGGUGGCGAAGGCGGGUCUCUGGACAGUUCCUGACGCUGAGGCACGAAGGCCAGGGGAGCAAACGGG
This 253-nucleotide ribosomal RNA is filed under the name uncultured bacterium. Its description in RNAcentral is "partial 16S ribosomal RNA". It matches the Rfam family "Bacterial small subunit ribosomal RNA", at positions 524 to 776 of the family's 1533-position model. The record is from RNAcentral.